GCUGCUGCAUAGGUGCUGCAUGGCUGUCGUCAGCUCGUGUCGUGAGAUGUUGGGUUAAGUCCCGCAACGAGCGCAACCCUUAUCCCUAGUUGCCAUCGGGUCAAGCCGGGCACUCUAGUGAAACUGCCUCGGAUAACGAGGAGGAAGGUGGGGAUGACGUCAAGUCCUCAUGGCCUUUAUGUCCAGGGCUACACACGUGCUACAAUGGUCGGUACAAACCGUCGCAAACCCGUGAGGGGGAGCUAAUCGGAAAAAGCCGGCCUCAGUUCGGAUUGGAGUCUGCAACUCGACUCCAUGAAGCUGGAAUCGCUAGUAAUCGCGGAUCAGAACGCCGCGGUGAAUACGCUCCCGGGCCUUGUACACACCGCCCGUCACAUCACGAAAGUGGGCCGUACUAGAAGCAGGUGUGCUAACCGCAAGGAGGCAGCCUUCCAAGGUACAGCUCAUGAUUGGGGUGAAGUCGUAACAA
Molecule: ribosomal RNA, 469 nt
Filed under: uncultured Acidobacteriota bacterium
Lineage: Bacteria; Pseudomonadati; Acidobacteriota
Description: bacterial SSU rRNA
Rfam family: Bacterial small subunit ribosomal RNA
Source: RNAcentral